CAAGCCUUUAGGCGAUCUGUUUGCACAAGCCUCUGAGAGGGAUGAAGAUAUUGUUUUCUUUGAUCAGAUUAUGCCGGUAAAGGUUUUCUGGUUUACCCUAUAGGGCUUGUAGCUCAGUUGGUUAGAGCGCGCGCUUGAUAAGCGUGAGGUUGGAGGUUCAAGUCCUCCCAGGCCCACCAGUUACACGAUGCUAAAAGUUGCUAUAUUGGGAGAGUUGAUAAUCCCUUACAGGAAAUUAUUGCCCUUAAUAAAACUUUAUUUUCUAAAAGCAUUCAGAGCUGACAUAGAAUAGAGCUGACAUAGAAUUGAGAAUCUGACAUAGGAAUUAUUGAAAUUGUUUUGGAAUUAUUGAAAUUGUUUUCUAUCAUUUUAAAAGGCUAAAAUAUUCUGUCUCUAUUUUUAAAAUAGCAUCAGGUGUUUUGUAAGAGUGUGAAGUUUUUAAGUGUGAGGUUUUUUAUAUUUUAGUGUGAGGUUUUUAUAAGGGUAUGACGUGAGAGCGUUUUGACCUGUUUUAGGGGCCGUAGCUCAGCUGGGAGAGCACCUGCUUUGCAAGC
This 554-nucleotide unclassified non-coding RNA is filed under the name uncultured Bartonella sp. RNAcentral describes it as "partial 16S-23S ribosomal RNA intergenic spacer". The stretch from base 103 to 176 matches the Rfam family "tRNA". Lineage: Bacteria; Pseudomonadati; Pseudomonadota; Alphaproteobacteria; Hyphomicrobiales; Bartonellaceae. The record is from RNAcentral.